GUCUCAGUUCGGAUUGUAGUCUGCAACUCGACUACAUGAAGCUGGAAUCGCUAGUAAUCGCGAAUCAGAAUGUCGCGGUGAAUACGUUCCCGGGUCUUGUACACACCGCCCGUCACACCAUGGGAGUUGGGAAUGCCCGAAGCCGGUGACCUAACCGAAAGGGAGGAGCCGUCGAAGGCAGGCUUGAUAACUGGGGUGAAGUCGUAACAAGGUAAC
Molecule: ribosomal RNA, 216 nt
Filed under: uncultured bacterium
Lineage: Bacteria
Description: partial 16S ribosomal RNA
Rfam family: Bacterial small subunit ribosomal RNA
Source: RNAcentral